UUAAACCUGCUAUGUUUGUGAUAGAGUGAUGUAUUCGAGCUACACUUAUUAAAAGGAGUCUUAUAUCCUAUACCGGUGUGCAGGCCUCCUAUCCCCCUCCUCUUAAUGAGACGCAAGUCGGACGAGGGAGCGAUAGACGUUGGAAGCAGAAAAGGUAUUAUGCGGACGCCACCUUGUUUAGAACAAGGUUCAAAUGGUUACUCUACACGGCACGGUGGGCUAAUA
Molecule: non-coding RNA, 225 nt
Filed under: Clostridia bacterium
Lineage: Bacteria; Bacillati; Bacillota; Clostridia
Description: 6S RNA
Rfam family: 6S / SsrS RNA
About the family: E. coli 6S RNA was the first non coding RNA to be sequenced, but its function was unknown until recently. It consists of 184 nucleotides that fold into an extended hairpin structure with a large single-stranded internal bulge. The 6S RNA specifically associates with RNA polymerase holoenzyme containing the sigma70 specificity factor.
Source: RNAcentral